Molecule: long non-coding RNA, 992 nt
Filed under: Triticum aestivum (bread wheat)
Lineage: Eukaryota; Viridiplantae; Streptophyta; Magnoliopsida; Poales; Poaceae
Description: long non-coding RNA (TAES_LNC014065)
Source: RNAcentral
CCAAUACUGGCAUCCAUCGACUAGAAAAACAACACUAGCUGCCCAGAAGAAGAGGAGUUUGCAAGAUCCCAUUCACCAUGGCACGCCCAAGGAACAACACACAUAUUUUGUUCUUGGUUGUAGCUCUUCUGGUCAUGUCUACCGCCUUCCUGGCCUGUAAUGCAGACAGUAAGAACAUACAUUUCUCCUGUACAAUUUUCUUUUUGAAACAAGGCAAAUACUUUGCUUAUUAUAUUGAUAUAGUAGGAGCAAAGGACAACCCGGCCGAAGCCAAAAACAAAAAAAGAAAAAGAAUAUAUGCUUCCAUCAUCUUCUUCUUUAUAGAUCUGUUCUUUCUUUCCCUUGGUACAAAACUGACUGUUCAUCUCUGUUCGUGCCGCCGUGCAGUCGACCCACCUACUGCAAUCCCGAUCCCACUCCAAGGUGCUGCUGCAUCUAUUAAGCGCAGGAAAUAACAAUGCCACUGUAGUGGCAGAUGAUGGAUGACAAAGCUAGCAAACUCAUUUUUAUGUGUCUAUCUCGUCUCAUGUAAAAAUCGGAACAGAUCAUGGUCCAGUCCUGUCCGUGAAUAAAGAUUAGAAAAGUUUCUUAAAUAGCCGUGUUUGCAGCAUUAAUAAGUCAACAUCUGGUAAACACAAGGGGACGAAAUGUUUUGACUAAAGACGCGAAAUUUACUCUUCGGAAGCGCUAGCGAUCAGACUACUGAUAGCUGGCUUCCCACAGACUAGUGCUGCAUUGUCGGAUUGAAAUUGCCUGGAAUGUCUGAUUGGAGAUGUGGGCCUAGGUAUUUUGCAUGUGGUGUUUCCGUCAAUAACUCCCAGAAAAGCGUGUCAGUGCACUAACUGGUUUUUUAAUUUUUACUGCUUCCUCCGUGCUUCAAAAUCUGGACUAUGUGAAACCGGUGCAUGUGGCAAACUGGGUGCAUCUGAUACAUUCUAUUCGUCAGUUUUUUUAUAGGACGCACACCAUGUUCUAUUAACAGUGGAAGCAUA